GAGUGCGAUCAUGCCAGCUCUAAUGCACCGGAUUCCAUCAGAAUGCCGUAGUUAAGCGUGCUUGGGCGAGAGUAGUACUAGGAUGGGUGACCUCUCAGGAAGUCCUCGUGUUGCACCCC
RNAcentral lists this ribosomal RNA (119 nucleotides) under Gossypium hirsutum (cotton). Lineage: Eukaryota; Viridiplantae; Streptophyta; Magnoliopsida; Malvales; Malvaceae. The record is from RNAcentral.